UGGCGGCAGCCUACACAUGCAAGUCGAGCGGUUGAGGGAAGCUUGCUUCCUGAUUCAGCGGCGGACGGGUGAGUAAUGCCUAGGAAUCUGCCUGGUAGUGGGGGACAACGUUUCGAAAGGAACGCUAAUACCGCAUACGUCCUACGGGAGAAAGCAGGGGACCUUCGGGCCUUGCGCUAUCAGAUGAGCCUAGGUCGGAUUAGCUAGUUGGUGAGGUAAUGGCUCACCAAGGCGACGAUCCGUAACUGGUCUGAGAGGAUGAUCAGUCACACUGGAACUGAGACACGGUCCAGACUCCUACGGGAGGCAGCAGUGGGGAAUAUUGGACAAUGGGCGAAAGCCUGAUCCAGCCAUGCCGCGUGUGUGAAGAAGGUCUUCGGAUUGUAAAGCACUUUAAGUUGGGAGGAAGGGCAGUCAGCGAAUACCUUGCUGUCUUGACGUUACCGACAGAAUAAGCACCGGCUAACUCUGUGCCAGCAGCCGCGGUAAU
RNAcentral lists this ribosomal RNA (490 nucleotides) under uncultured bacterium. RNAcentral's name for it is "bacterial SSU rRNA". It matches the Rfam family "Bacterial small subunit ribosomal RNA", at positions 37 to 524 of the family's 1533-position model. The record is from RNAcentral.